RNAcentral lists this non-coding RNA (28 nucleotides) under Callithrix jacchus (white-tufted-ear marmoset). RNAcentral also lists the same sequence under 1 other name. Lineage: Eukaryota; Metazoa; Chordata; Mammalia; Primates; Cebidae. The record is from RNAcentral.
GACCAAUGAUGAGACAGUGUUUAUGAAC